GAUGAACGCUGGCGGCUGGCCUAAUACAUGCAAGUCGAACGAAGAUGUUCUUGUGUUCGCAUGAGAGCUCUUAGUGGCGGACGGGUGAGUAACGCGUUGGUGACCUGCCCUAAAGAAGGGAACAACCUCGGGAAACUGAGGCUAAUACCCUAUGUGCUUCUAGAGAUUAGAUGCUUUAGAAGUAAAGGUUCUGUGGACGAAAGACCGCAGCGCCGCUUUAGGAGGGGCCUGCGUCCCAUCAGCUAGUUGGUAGGGUAAUGGCCUACCAAGGCGAUGACGGGUAGGGGACCUGAGAGGGUGACCCCCCACACUAGCACUGAACACGGGCUAGACACCUACGGGUGGCAGCAGUAGGGAAUCUUGCACAAUCGACGAAAGUCUGAUGCAGCAACGCCGCGUGUGCGAUGAAGGCCUUCGGGUUGUAAAGCACUUUUCUGAGGGAAGAGAAAGGACGGUACCUCAGGAAUAAGUCUCGGCUAACUACGUG
Molecule: ribosomal RNA, 487 nt
Filed under: uncultured bacterium
Lineage: Bacteria
Description: bacterial SSU rRNA
Rfam family: Bacterial small subunit ribosomal RNA
Source: RNAcentral